This 468-nucleotide ribosomal RNA is filed under the name uncultured bacterium. Its description in RNAcentral is "partial 16S ribosomal RNA". It matches the Rfam family "Bacterial small subunit ribosomal RNA", at positions 28 to 507 of the family's 1533-position model. The record is from RNAcentral.
GACGAACGCUGGCGGCGUGCUUAACACAUGCAAGUCGAGCGGAAAGGCCCUGCUUUUGUGGGGUGCUCGCGUGGCGAACGGGUGUGUAACACGUGAGUAUCCUGCCCUUGACUUUGGGAUAACUUCAGGCAACUGGGGCUAAUACAGGAUAGGAGCUCCUGCUGCAUGGUGGGGGUCGGAACGUUUCGGCGGUUGGGGAUGGACUCGCGGCUUAUCAGCUUGUUGGUGGGGUAGUGGCUUACCAAGGCUUUGACGGGUAGCCGGCCUGAGAGGUUGACCGGCCACAUUGGGACUGAGAUACGGCGCAGACUCCUACGGGAGGCAGCAGUGGGGAAUAUUGCACAAUGGGCGGAAGCCUGAUGCAGCAACGCCGCGUGCGGGAUGACGGCCUUCGGGUUGUAAACCGCUUUCGCCUGUGACGAAGCGUGAGUGACGGUAAUGGGUAAAGAAGCACCGGCUAACUACGUG